RNAcentral lists this long non-coding RNA (4350 nucleotides) under Homo sapiens (human). Its description in RNAcentral is "HSALNT0349282". The record is from RNAcentral. Lineage: Eukaryota; Metazoa; Chordata; Mammalia; Primates; Hominidae.
CCAGUCUGCACACUCCAUGAAGGCAAAAAUGGGAUGACUCUAUUCAUUUAUUUUCUGCCUCCCCACUAGAAUAUAAGCUUCUUAAAGAUAGGGGCUAUGGUCAUUAUUCUUGGCAUCUCCAGCUCCAGUGGCAGUAAUAAGACAACGAGUGCCAGAUGGACCAGUACUCCAUGAUUUUGUGUGUGAGUGGGAGGUGGGGAGAGGUGCAGGCUUCAAAGACAAGUAGAAUUUGGAGUGAAAAUGUUGCUAAGAAAAAUCUGACAAUGGUCAUAUGACAAUAUGUCAUUUCCUCACUUUGCUCCAUCUUUGCAGGUAGUUCCCACUCUUCCUAAGAGUGAUGACUUUUCACUUAUAAUAAUAUUAUUAAUAAUGAUGAGGGUUUAAACUGGUGUUUAUUAUCUAUUUACCAAAUAUGAGGUGUCAAAUAUUAUCCUAAGCAUUUACACUAGUAAUUUUAUAACUUCUGUGUGUGCUCCCAGGAGGCCAGAACAGUAUCUGAGUCUGAUUUGCAAAUGUAGAAUAGGAGAUUUCCUUGACCCAAAUGUUGGAUGAAUCUUAAGUCAGAGGCAGAUUCAAGUCAUUAAAUGCAUCUACUUUCUUCAAGCCCACAUAGAACCAAUUGGGUUCCAUUCAUCAAGCAAGGCAGGCAUGUGAGAUGUGGAACAGCAAGUAGACUUCAUGCUUCACUGCAACUCCAAUCAUUUGGAAGCAAAUAUCUAGACAUUUUGUAAGAAUUGUUCAUCUAAGCUCAGCAGGAACAAGUGCCUCUAUUGGUUAGCAAUGUUUACCACAUACAUGGAUGAGGAGUAGCAGAGGUCACUCAAGGUACUCAUCAAACCCAGCCCUUCUGCAGAGAAAACGAGUUCUCCUUCUUAAUAAUGCUCGUGGAAAGAGCAAAGUUCAAACCCCAUCAGUGCCUCAGAGAGACUAUAACAUCAAGACAGUCUUUCUCCUUUCUAGAAUUCCUGGCCAGAACUACGGCCACAAGAGCUGGUGUGAGAGAAAGAUGAUGAAAAGAAGCUGUCAAGCCAUGGUCUAAGAGGAGUCACAGACAUGGUUAUCAUCAGCUACUUUCAUUCUAAGAGAAGGAUACCUGGGCCAUGAGAGUAUCUUACCUCAUGGCCAAGGGUGGAAGAUUAAGGAGGAGAGGAGGUUGUCCACUAAACUCAAGUAAGUAAGAUCCUGUUCUUUUUUAAGACCUUAGUAUUAAGGGCUAAAUUCUACCAGCCCCUGGUAAGGAUAGACUAGGAAGUAGUGAGACAGGCUAGUAGCCCACAUCUUAGAUCCUUUAGCUGACACAGGGGAUAUAUGACAUUCCUCCCAAAGGAAUACAAGCUAUACUAUGAGCAGAGAAGACCCCAGAAUAAGUCAUGCAGCCUGUGAAAGACUCUGAUUGCUCAAAUAAGUUGACUCUCACUCCAGUCCGAAGCAAGGAGGCACAGCACAGCUUUCACCUGCACAAAAUGGAGUUUUGCUCAGGCAGCAUCCUUGGGAGCCUUAUCUCAGUGUCUCCCUGGAACAAACAAGACGAGGAACCUCCCCAGCUUGUACCAGGGUCUCACUAUAAGGGCACCUGCCUGUGCCUCCCCAGCUCUGUUUCUUACAUUCUACUUUGUAGUCUCAGCUAGUUUUCUCUACCUAUCUCUUUAGGCAUCUCUCUAAUCUAUCUCUUUAAGUCUAGGUACUAGUGGGCACUCAGGAAAUCUUUGUUGAAUGAAUGUUCACAUCAUUAGUCUAGUAAUCAUGGCUAGCUAAAAAUUUUGCCAGGCCAGGUGCAAAAUGAAAAUUUGGAAUCUCUCCUUCAAAAGACAGGAAAAAGAGGGCUGUUAAAGGCACUAAGAUCCAAAGGGUUUUUUUUUUUCCUUCCAUGUCUUCUCUCUUAACUCAUCAUAGUGUUUUUUAAUUUGCUGUUUAAUUUGUUGUAGGUAAAGAAAAAAUAAAAAUUUAAAUUAUUAGCAUUAAUUUUGCUAUUUAUCUUUAUAUCAUGCAAUGACAAUUUGAAAUGCAAAUAUAAGAACAUUUUGCUCAUAUGAGGAGUCACUGAAAAUAUAAUUUGUAUUUCGUAAGUCACGUAUUUGUAUUUUGUUUUUACCAGAACAGUUGAAAUGCUGCACAAAACUAACUCAACAGUUUUUAUGUCACUCCUUGUUACAGUUCUACCAAUACUUUCUCCCUUCUACUUACUGACGAUUAAUGAUGAGUAAAGAAAAAGAAGGAUGCGUUGUCCUUUCUUUCCCAUUCCUUCUAUGUCAUCAUUUUCAGCAUAAUACAGGGAAGUAUGUAAGAAAAGACAUGAUGGGAUUCCUUGGUCUUUUAUGUUUAUUUGAACACCAUUGCCUGUCCCUAAGAAUCAUAGUGAGGACCCUGUGUGCAUUUUCUCUAUGCUAUAUAUGUGCACAAUGCAUUAGCAAUUGGAUCAGCCCUGAAACUGACAUCAAAGUCUAGGUCAACUGAACUGUUUUCACAUAGCCCACAGAAAUACCUUCAUUUUCUUACCUUAUGAGAUUGUGGCUUAUAAGGUAAGCCACAUAUAUAUUGUGGCUAGAAAUAAAGUGAAGAAAGACAAUGAGGGAAAUACAUAACGGGAUUUCUGAGGCCAGUUUUUAUUCAUCUAUUUCUAGUCCCAAGGGUUUAAAGCAGAUUAAAAACAAACAAAGAUCCUGACCAUUGUGGCUCUGUGGGGUCCACAGGGUUUAUUUCCCUUACCACCAAGAUAAUUCAAUUCAACAAAUAUUAUUUAGUUUUACCAUACGCUUGCCAUGACAAUCCCAAGACCAUCUACGGAGGCAGGGCAGAAACUGAAAGCUGCCUGGAGAUCAAGCUUUUCUUCCUGGGAAACACACAGAUAUUUAGUAAAAUGGAAUAAAGGACUUCUGAAAGAGAAAAAAAAUGGAUUCUGUACAGGAAACUAGAGAGAUUCUGUACAGGAAACUAUGUCCCCAUCUUCAGUGUGUACAAAAUUACACACUUCCUCACCCUGAAACUGGUUUUGUUCAUGCCCCGUUCAAGAUACAUUACAGCAAGAAAGGGAAACUGGGGCAGAUUAAGAGAGCCUUGGCUUUCUGUCCCUUGCACUCAUUGAAGUUAGGGGUGUUACACCAUGAAGAGCUAGCAAGAGAUUCUAGAAAGAUUUCUGUGAUUUUGCCUCAGGAGCAGGUGCUGAGAUGAAGUGGCUCUGCCAAUCUAAGUGCAAAAAAAAAAAGAUGUUUUCAGAUUAAUGAUUAACCUAAUCUUGCUGUUUCUGUGUUCUAAGAGUGAAGAAAAAAUUCAAAAAGUGGUUUAUUCAUCCAUUUAUUCCAGACAUAUUUUAUGAACACCUACUUUAUAUGUCAGGUACUGAACUGGGUGUUGCAAAAACACAAAACAAUAAAACCAAUAAGACAUUGGUUUUGCCCAGAGGGUACUCUAAGUCUAGUGGGAGAGACAUUCACAUAAAAAGCAAAUUAAAUGCAAUGUGACAAAUACAGAGAGCUAAGUAUGGCUGCCAUGGGACAUCUUAAGGGCUGGCAACAAACCCAGUGCCCAGGCAUUUAGUGGCUCUGCUAUGGAAUGAAUGUGCUUUCCCUAAAUUCAUAUGCUCAAAUCUUAAUCCCCAAUGUGAUGGGAUUAGGAGGUGAAGCCUUUGGUAUGUGCUUAGAUCAUAAGGGCAGAACCCUCAUUAAUGGGAUUAGUGCCCUUAUUAAGAAACCCUAAGUAGCUCUCUCACCCUUUCUACCCAGCAAGGAGAUGGCCACCUAGGAACAAGGAAGCAAGAUCUCACUAGACAACAAAUCUGCCAGUGCUUUGAUCCAGGACUUUCAGUCUCCAGAACUGAGCUAGCAGACAGGAAAACAAAUUUGUCUUAAAUACCCCAAGUUUAUAGGCUUCUCACCCCUCGGCAGCUGCAACUGGCAAAUCUAGUUUACAGAAAUGGGAGAUGAGGGAGAUGUGCACGUUUUUCACUGUCGGAACUUGAGAGGCAGUGAUGGAAUACUUACGAAGUAGCAGCUCUCGGCAGGUAUUUGGGUUAUUAAUGUGCAUGGUUGGAAGGCUGUAGCUUUCUAAUUUGAAAGAGGUCUACUAACAGUAAUACUGGACUCCAGGAAUAAGGGGGGAAACCUGGGCAUCUGCAUUGUACUGAAUGUUUACAAACUUUCAGUUUCUUCUAAUUUAUAGGAUCAGUUUUCUACGUUUCUUUAGCACUUUCCCUUACAUUUGUAUAGUAGAGGGGAAUGUUGCACAUAAAACAAUCAUAGGGUCAGGGGGUCUUCAUGGCAAAGCCUUUAGGUAUCAGCUACCCAUGCAAUUUUUCUCACCUGUCCAAGUUCUUUCUUGGCUUUCUGGAUCUCUGCCUUAUGCAUUCUCUCUGUU